GGCUAGAUGGCCGAGCGGUUAUGGCGUGUGACUCAAGAUAGUAUCUUGCCCACUUCAAGGUGUGGUUUCUCAUGGGGCAACCCGCGGGGGUUCGAAUCCCCCUCUAGUCA
Molecule: non-coding RNA, 110 nt
Organism: Blumeria graminis
Lineage: Eukaryota; Fungi; Ascomycota; Leotiomycetes; Helotiales; Erysiphaceae
Source: Rfam